RNAcentral lists this ribosomal RNA (492 nucleotides) under uncultured bacterium. RNAcentral describes it as "partial 16S ribosomal RNA". It matches the Rfam family "Bacterial small subunit ribosomal RNA", at positions 29 to 507 of the family's 1533-position model. The record is from RNAcentral.
AGUGAACGCUGGCGGUAGGCCUAACACAUGCAAGUCGAACGGCAGCACAGUAAGAGCUUGCUCUUACGGGUGGCGAGUGGCGGACGGGUGAGGAAUACAUCGGAAUCUACUUUUUCGUGGGGGAUAACGUAGGGAAACUUACGCUAAUACCGCAUACGACCUACGGGUGAAAGCAGGGGAUCUUCGGACCUUGCGCGAUUGAAUGAGCCGAUGUCGGAUUAGCUAGUUGGCGGGGUAAAGGCCCACCAAGGCGACGAUCCGUAGCUGGUCUGAGAGGAUGAUCAGCCACACUGGAACUGAGACACGGUCCAGACUCCUACGGGAGGCAGCAGGGGGGAAUAUUGGACAAUGGGCGCAAGCCUGAUCCAGCCAUACCGCGUGGGUGAAGAAGGCCUUCGGGUUGUAAAGCCCUUUUGUUGGGAAAGAAAAGCAGCAGGUUAAUACCCCGCUGUUCUGACGGUACCUAAAGAAUAAGCACCGGCUAACUUCGUG